Molecule: ribosomal RNA, 440 nt
Filed under: uncultured bacterium
Lineage: Bacteria
Description: bacterial SSU rRNA
Rfam family: Bacterial small subunit ribosomal RNA
Source: RNAcentral
AACGAACGCUGGCGGCGUGCCUAACACAUGCAAGUCGAGCGCGAAUGGAGCAAUCCUAGUAGCGCGGCGCACGGGUGCGUAACACGUGGGUAAUCUGCCUGGGAGACCGGAAUAACCUGCCGAAAGGCUGGCUAAUACCGGAUAAGCCCACGGACUCUUCGGAGUCUGAGGGAAAAGGUGGCCUCUGUAUACAAGCUAUCACUUCCAGAUGAGCCCGCGGCCCANCAGCUCGUUGGCGGGGUAAGGCCCACCAAGGCAACGACGGGUAGCUGGUCUGAGAGGACGAUCAGCCACACUGGAACUGAGACACGGUCCAGACUCCUACGGGAGGCAGCAGUGGGGAAUUUUGCACAAUGGGCGAAAGCCUGAUGCAGCAACGCCGCGUGUGUGAUGAAGGUCUUCGGAUCGUAAAGCACUUUCGACCGGGACGAAACCCGUUC